Molecule: long non-coding RNA, 223 nt
Filed under: Elaeis guineensis (African oil palm)
Lineage: Eukaryota; Viridiplantae; Streptophyta; Magnoliopsida; Arecales; Arecaceae
Description: long non-coding RNA (EGUI_LNC007485)
Source: RNAcentral
UCUGACGGCGACAAGACGCGACGUCUGACACCUGACGCCGACGUGACUUCUGACACCGACUAGACGUCCAGAUCGCUUGGCAUUUAUGAGACGUCUGACAUCGGAUCGGCCGGCGGUACGGUCGGAUCUGUGCAUACGACAAAUCCACUCCCAGUCGCCCAGGAUUGCUGCCUGAAUGAAAGCAUCGGCCAGCUCACCAUCCGACUUAGGAGUGGAGGGGGGC